UACGUAGGGGGCUAGCGUUGUCCGGAUUUAUUGGGCGUAAAGAGCGUGUAGGCGGCCAGAUAGGUCAGCUGUGAAAACUCGAGGCUUAACCUCGAGAUGUCGGCUGAAACCAUCUGGCUAGAGUCCGGAAGAGGAGAAUGGAAUUCCCGGUGUAGCGGUGAAAUGCGCAGAUAUCGGGAAGAACACCCGUGGCGAAGGCGGUUCUCUGGGACGGUACUGACGCUGAGACGCGAAAGCGUGGGGAGCGAACAGG
This 253-nucleotide ribosomal RNA is filed under the name uncultured bacterium. Its description in RNAcentral is "partial 16S ribosomal RNA". It matches the Rfam family "Bacterial small subunit ribosomal RNA", at positions 524 to 776 of the family's 1533-position model. The record is from RNAcentral.